GAGGCAGUUCUUAGCUCCUUGGCGAAUUGGUCUCCGAAGCCGAGGGUCGCAGGUUCGAAUCCUGCCGGGCGCACCA
Molecule: transfer RNA, 76 nt
Filed under: Halomonas daqiaonensis
Lineage: Bacteria; Pseudomonadati; Pseudomonadota; Gammaproteobacteria; Oceanospirillales; Halomonadaceae
Description: tRNA_Pseudo_CCG
Source: RNAcentral